AGCGAACGCUGGCGGCAGGCCUAACACAUGCAAGUCGAACGAACCCUUCGGGGUUAGUGGCGGACGGGUGAGUAACACGUGGGAACGUACCUUUAGGUUCGGAACAACACAGGGAAACUUGUGCUAAUGCCGAAUGUGCCCUUCGGGGGAAAGAUUUAUCGCCUUUAGAGCGGCCCGCGUCUGAUUAGCUUGUUGGUGAGGUAAAGGCUCACCAAGGCUUCGAUCAGUAGCUGGUCUGAGAGGAUGAUCAGCCACACUGGGACUGAGACACGGCCCAGACUCCUACGGGAGGCAGCAGUGGGGAAUCUUGCGCAAUGGGCGAAAGCCUGACGCAGCCAUGCCGCGUGAAUGAUGAAGGUCUUAGGAUUGUAAAAUUCUUUCACCGGGGAAGAUAAUGACGGUACCCGGAGAAGAAGCCCCGGCUAACUUCGUGCCAGCAGCCGCGGUAAAAGCACGUGUA
Molecule: ribosomal RNA, 460 nt
Filed under: uncultured bacterium
Lineage: Bacteria
Description: bacterial SSU rRNA
Rfam family: Bacterial small subunit ribosomal RNA
Source: RNAcentral